Molecule: long non-coding RNA, 1757 nt
Filed under: Capsella rubella
Lineage: Eukaryota; Viridiplantae; Streptophyta; Magnoliopsida; Brassicales; Brassicaceae
Description: long non-coding RNA (CRUB_LNC002020)
Source: RNAcentral
UGGCGACUCCGCUGAAACCCUAAAACCCCCGGUUGAAGACGCCGUUAGACACGAGAGACCUAGAAUCCCCGUGGACGUUUCCAAUUCUGCCCGGAGAAGGUAUGGUUGUCGUGCAGGACAAUUUUUUUUUUUCUAUCAAUAAUAACCUUUCUAUUAAAUACUGGUAAUUUUGCUCAUGAAUAGAUCUUCUCUUCGCUCGGCAUCACCAAAUAAACAUCCGCCGGUUGUCCAUCUCCAGUCUAAAGGGUAAGUUUUCGCCGGAUAGACAAAAUUUUGUCUACUACCCCCGUAGUUUUCCUUUCUGGUUUCGUCUAUUUGUACUAAAUCGCCUACAAUUUUAAUCCAAUUGUAGACCCCCGGCAAGAGAAAUUGUCCUUGGUCUCAAAGCGGCCUCCCGGCCAGUGGACAUCCCAAGACCCUUAAGGUAGUUUGAGUAUAAGAUAUGUUUUUGCGUGCCCAGAAUGCUUAUUGUUGUUAACACGAUUCCUGUUGGUGAAUAGAAACACGCCGGUGGACAACACUGAAGCAGUAGACAGCCCAACAGACGAAUCCAUUGAAAUGUCCAUGCUUCCACCCCGGCUAUUUGCUACCAAUCGGUACCCUGCAGGAGGGCGCAUUAAUUCAUAUUCCAGGCCUGAAUAUCUUAUAGACAUCGUUGACGUUUUGCACGGGUCUUUGUAGUUUGAGUGGCUGAAGCAGUCAUCUUUCGGUGGUCUAUUGAAGCUCCCUAUUCGGAGAAGUUCCCUAUCUGGAAAGCUUGUACACCAAGUUCUUUGUCGUUCGCUGGUCACCGAUAAACGUCACGAGAUGUGGUUUGUAUAUGGAGGACAUCCCAUACGAUUUUCCAUGAGAGGGUUUGCCAUUUUAACAGGGCUUAACUGCAACCCAUACCCGCCGGAACAGGAGAUCGAGAAGAUGCAAACGCCACGGCGCAAGGAUGAAACGUAUUGGACAAAACUGUUUGGUCCUCAUAGCUCUAUGAGUAUUCGGGACAUUGUAGAUUGGUUGAAGCGGGACAAAAGGUUGCCUAAGCCUAAAAGAAUGGAUGGUCAGAAGAGACUAAGACUUGCACUCCUUGUCAUAGUUGAGGGUAUCCUUGUCUGCGACUCCUCCAACGUAAGAGCCUCGAGGAAGGUCGUUCAGAUGCUUGAAGACAUCAAUUCCUUUGACAGCUUCCCCUGGGGUCGUCUAUCAUUCGAGCGGACAAUGGUUACUGUAUCUGUGGGUUCUGUCAACAAAUCCGCUGAUGAACUUGCACAGAAACUUAUGCAAUCCCACACUGCUACCCAUGGCUUCACACUAGCCAUCCAGUUGCUCAUACUCCAAGCCGUCCCUCUGCUCCAGAACUAUCUCCUAGGGCCCGAUGAUUCUGAGACAUUCGCUUUCCGAUCUGUUUCCCAACUCACUAUGUGCAAGACGUUCCAUAAUUCAACAAUCCUUGAGACGGAGCUGGACGAAAAGGUUAGUUGCCCAUUCUUUGUUCUUAUAUGUUGCAUAUUUAGUGGCCAGUUAUCUGAUAGACAGGAUUAGAUUUAGUUGUCCAUUCUUUGUUCUUAUAUGUUGCAUAUUUAGUGGCCAGUUCGCUGGUAGACAUGAUUAGAUAGACAUUUCUAUUUCAUGGAUGGACAAAUUAGACUCGGCAAUAGACAAGAUAAUCUGGUGAUAGGCAUGUAUGAAACAUCGCUAGUAGGCUUAACGAGGAAGAUGCGGACAACAUAUUAAGUUUUUUGCCCACGUUUGACAUUGCUCUAUCUUCC